UUUCUAAACAGUCUAUGCUCCAGGAAACGGAGAAGCUAGGAAAUGGCUCUAGGGCUGGAUUUGAGGAUCCCAUAUGCACAAUCGCAGCACACCAGGGCAUUCCACGAUGUAACAGCCCUCUCUGCCUCCUGCCUCCACUGAUGCCAAAAUCCACUAACUGCUCAUUAGCAAAGAUACCACUGUGGAAUCACACAAGAGGCUUUCCCAAGGCCACAUGGCUCAUGCAUGCAGGCCAAGCUCAAAUACUGACUCAAAGCCAAAGGCUUGGCCCACCUUCAAGAGAGUCAACAAAUAUCUCCUGAUCAGAACAAGAACAUAUAUUUUCACUUUCUGCAAUCUAAAACUUAUGUAACCUGGAACAUGACUUGGCACCUACUGUUUGCGAGACAUCAUCCAGGGUCCCUUUGUGGAGAUGAGUAAGAGUUGACUUCUGCCCAGCAGCACAUUGCAUUUUUUGGGAAAGGCUAUAGGGCUCUCUCUGGACCAACUGAUGUAAAGUACGAGGGUGGCACAGGAGUCUUCUGAAGUUUCCAAGAUUCUGUUACUUAAAAAAUGCCUAAAGGCCAUCUUAGAAGCCUAACUUGAGCACUUAAGAAGAAGUGGCCUCUUGAAAGUGAUCUGUAAGUUCUAAGCCUGAAGAACAAUAGAUUUACAAUGCUAAAAAUAUAUUUCAUUGUUGUUAUUGUUUCAUAUCAGCUAGUAUGUGUUGAAUGCUCAUGCUGUAUGUCCUAAUGACAAAUCUAUUCUUAGCUCAUUUUAUAACUGACUGAACAGAAUCUUACCUCAAGAGAUUUUUCAUGUUGACUUGGCUCAUAAAUGUGGUAGAGAUUAAGUUCUCUGAGGAACAGUCCUCUUUAUGGUUCUUACGGAGGAUGUUCAUGUUCCCUCAGAAUCUUAGCCCCAGUGUGAUGAUAUUUACAUGUGGGACUUUCGGUUGGAAGGUAAUCAAAUAAAACAGAGCUGGAACCAGUAAGUGGAACCUCCAUGAUGGGAUAGGAUCCUUAUAAAAAGAGGAAGAGAAUUCGAGGUCUGCCUCUCUUUGACCAGAUGAAGACACUAGGGGAAAGAAACUGUUGGCUAGCCAGGAAAAGAAUCCUAUCAGGAGGCAAAUCAGUUGGCACUGUGAUUUUUGAAUUCUCAGUGUUUGGAAUUCAGAGAUAUUAAAGCGAGCUGUUUAAACCACUCCAUCUGACCCUAGUUAUUACACCUGAAUUGAUAAAGACCAUGGUCCUCUUCUUUCCUCAUCUAUGCCCAUUUCUUCCUCAGUGUUACCCUUGUAAUUAAAAAUACACCCCUUUUUCACCCCUCAACUACCUUGCACACAAACUAGGUUGUGCAUCGGGGGCUGCCUCGGCUUCCAUGAGAGAUUAUAGCUGAUGCUCCAAUUAAUUAUGCAGCAGCCUCUUUGGCUAAUAAAAUCUAAACAAAGAGCUUUUAAUCCAAUUCAUCGUUUUUUCUCCAUCGUGAGCAGCCUGUCAAACACAAUCAGAUUCGGCGUGCGAAGCAGAGAGAAGGCAGGCGUCAGCCCCACCUACUUAGCAGGGCUGCGAGCAGGAAGCUCCAAGUCAGAGAACAGUUGGCUGCGCAGAUGGCAGAGACGGAAGACUUGGGGGAAAGCCACCCUCUGCUGCAGCAUCGCAUCGGGAAAGGACCAUUUGGGGGUUGCGGGCAGCGAGGCACUUCCCUGUGCCUCUUGGCUUGGUCGCGCCAGUGUAUGAGAACUCAGAAAAAGUGACAUAAAUAUUUACCAGAGGAUGUCUAUAUAAUCAACACUUGAUACAGUCAAUCUCUAAUAAAAAAUCACUGGUUUCCCUCUUUUAUAGGUAAAAAGAAAGAAGACCUAACAUGCAAUGUAAAUUACUUACAGUUGCAUAGCUAGUAAGUAGAAGUGUAGGGAUUUGAAUUCUUAUCUUCCAGAUUCUCUGCCUUGUGCCAGUCUUAUUGAAGAAGGCUCUAAGACAUUCCUAGGGCAAUAGUGCCUUAUCCACCCUUGGCUGAAAUGCUGGAUGGAGCAGCUAGAAACCCGGAAACAUGGUCUUACAUUUAAAGUAUUUCUGAUACAAAUGGGGAGAGAAUUAGUACAUGGGGCUAAUUUUUCAAUGUUGGGCUGUGUGGUCGUAACUCGACAUAAUAAAAAGGAGCAAAUCGAAUAGCCAAAAAGCUCAUACCAUCUCAGAACUGAAAAGGCCACCCUUGUUAUAUGUGAGCACAUCCUUGGAACCUCUUGAGGGUGAAAAUCAUGUCUCAUUUAUUACUUUGAUUACUGUCAUGAGAUAGUUAUUGAUUAUGUAAAUAAAAAUUAAUCUUAAAGAAUAAAGAAAUUCAGAUAUCAUGUACUACAUGUAUAUUUUGUGUGGAAGUCAUGAACAUCCUUGGGGAAUUUCUAAAAACUCCUAGGGGAGAAAUGCACAUACAAUUUUUGGAAGUCCAGGUCUCACAGAAAGCGAUUCAUUAUUGUCACACUGAAUAUUAAGAAGAUGAUUCAGGAAAUUGUGAUACAUUUUCUCAAUUAAAAGAUUCACAGUUUGAAAUUAAUAUUUAUCAUAACACUGAGAGAAAAUGUUUGCUUACAAAGGAAAUAAACCAGGCCAUAAACAUUUUGUACAGCAUAUGAAUUUUAUUAGAUACAAAAUUCCCAGUAAGUGCUCCAGGUCUGAUAAAACUAUCUCUCUGUACAUGUAUGUGCCUCACUUGCCAGAGUGUGGUCUUGUGUAAGCUCCUGAAUCUCUGAUACCUGUGUCUCUUCCCUUCUUCCUCCCUCCCUCCCUCCUUCCAUCGCUUCCUUCCUUCCUUCCUUCCUUCCCUUUUCUCUCCCUUCUUUUCCUGCUUUUGUGGUACUAGCAAUUGCAAUAAGCCAAGGCUUCAAGACCUUUGCAAUAAGCCACAUCUCAGUACUUUUUAGAUUUUAUUUUGAGAUAAAUUCUCUUUAAAUCACUAACUUGCCCAGGCUGGGGCUCAGACUUGCAAUCCUCCUGCUCCAGCCUCCAAGAGUACUGGAAUUACUAAAGAUUGUAUCUUUUUAUAAAGUUAUCUAUCACUGAGGAAAACCCUUCCUAAAAUUACUGUGUUUUAUUAUUUUUACUCUAUAAUUUAUUCCCAUCAUUUUAUAUGCUCACACCUAUAAACAAAUACACACUUAUGAAUGCAUGCAUACACUAAAUAGUUCAGAAUUUACCUCUGAGGUGGAGAGUAAGAUUGUUUGUAGAAGAUGGUAACCUGAUAAACAGCGACUUCAAAUAUUUUUUCAAUAAAACAUGAAUCAUACAUUACUGUAAAUCAAAAUAAAGGAACGUACAACAAAUGUGGAGAAUUGUAGCAAAUGGAAACUACUCUUUCCUCUACACAUUUUGUUCAUAAGAUGGGAUGUUUUCUGCAUUCUGAAAUUAUAUAACCUCUUCAAGAUACGGUGCCUAAAUUGAGUCCCACUUUUUGUCUUGAAUUUUGCCUGGAAAGAGAGGAAACAUGCAAAUAUUCGCUGAACAAUGCACAACCGCUGCACUAGAGAACAGGUAUCUGGCGGAUUGAUCCACUACCACCUGGUCUCUUACCUCUACAGCUUAUAUCGCGAGGUAAAGGCCCUCCAUUCUGCAGGGCCAACCUAUUCACAUGAAAGUACCAUUACCAUAUAAUUAAACAGUGGAACUGUGAGCAGAGGUUGUUAAGUAUCUACUUCCAAUGUUAAGUUUUCCAUUCCAGAAGGGUGCUUCACUGCUCAAAUAAUAAUAUUUAGGCAUGCAUUUUUUCUGUCCACUUCCAUCCGUGGAGACUUGGGCAGGAACAAUUAGCAGUCCCUGGCAAGCUGCCCUCAGAAAAGAAUGAGAAGAUAACAGCUUCAGGAAACAAGGAGAACUUGUUAGUAGAAGGACAUGUUAAGAGACUAUCAUGAACAAACUUUUGAAGGAAUUUACCAAGCUUAAAUGAUCCAAAUCACAGAUUUCUAUGAGAGUUUUUGUCACUGAUAAAGUCAAGAUGAAACCAGAAGUUGGGAGGACAUGUUUCCUGAUGAGGAGGGAAUUUCAGAACCAUGAGGAAAGAAAGGAGGGUAAAGGUAUCUAUCCCACCAAGGACAGCCACUGCUUCUGUCUUAACAAUAGGAAGACGUAGGUGGAUGAGUAGUUGCAUAAAAGAUAAUCUCACCAAUGACGUGAUAUUUUUUCAACAAAACACUGCCAUUGUGUGCUCUACUAAAGGUGGGAGGGAAUAAUGACCUAUACUUCAGCAAUAACAGCAAGAAAUGUGUCUCACGCAUUUGUUUAUUCGAUAAAUAUUUUUAUUUAUUAUAUAAGUGCUGUUGGGCGUCUUCUGUUUGCCACCUCUAUUCUAGGUAUUGUCUUUCUAACAACUCACAAAAUAGGUAAGGAGCUUGUUUUAGUUACUUUUUACUCGCCGCUGAGACAAAAUACCUGAUGCCCAAGUUGGGAAAGGAAAGGUUUAUUUCUUACAGUUUUGGGAGGUUUCAGUCCACGCUCAGUUGGCUCCCAGGCAGGUGGGCAUGGCUGGGCUGCAGUUCAUGGCGGCUGCAAAUAGCAAACUCGAACCAGCAAAGAGAAAGAGACACCUUCUUCCUGCCAUUACAUGACAUCCUGGCUCUGCCCCCAUGUGGGUGGAGCACUGACACCAUCAAUCCAAGCACUAGACAAUGAACCAAUCACAAAUACACAAUGCAAACUCAUGAGGCCUGGGGGACACAGACAUAAACCAUGACAGAGCUUCCUUGUUAAGAAUGAAGUUCAGCCCAGAAGAACUGAAAGCAUCAUACCACAGUGAUUAUAUGUGCACCUAUGUUUAUAGCAGCACAAUUUGUAAUCGCAAGAUCUUGGAAACAACCCAAGUGUCCAUCAACUGAGGAAUGGAUUAAAAAGUUGUGGUAUUUCUAUACAAUGGAGUAUUACUCAGCUAUAAAGAAGGAUCACAUUGAGAUAUUUAUCAAUA
Molecule: long non-coding RNA, 4932 nt
Organism: Cavia porcellus (domestic guinea pig)
Lineage: Eukaryota; Metazoa; Chordata; Mammalia; Rodentia; Caviidae
Exons: 4
Source: RefSeq, a predicted model, not a curated record